This 228-nucleotide long non-coding RNA is filed under the name Elaeis guineensis (African oil palm). Its description in RNAcentral is "long non-coding RNA (EGUI_LNC038645)". The record is from RNAcentral. Lineage: Eukaryota; Viridiplantae; Streptophyta; Magnoliopsida; Arecales; Arecaceae.
CUCCUCACAAGCUUCAUGUCCCAUGAAUAGUCCUAAUUUUCAAAGGACUUCCGAAGGUCAGAAGUUGCUAGCUCAUCCGGAUUCAUUUAGUGAACCGGGCAAGGACCUCCGUGGUUAUUGGGAUUGUGAGUGCAACCAGAAGGUCCAGAUGGAGUGACCGGCCCUCGAAGGUACUCCAACAAGAGUCCACCAUUCUCCAUCCAUGUCUCUCCUUCCAAAGGCCUCGCC